This 597-nucleotide ribosomal RNA is filed under the name uncultured bacterium. Its description in RNAcentral is "bacterial SSU rRNA". The stretch from base 1 to 509 matches the Rfam family "Bacterial small subunit ribosomal RNA", at positions 338 to 873 of the family's 1533-position model. The record is from RNAcentral.
CCUACGGGAGGCAGCAGUGGGGAAUCUUGCGCAAUGGGGGCAACCCUGACGCAGCCAUGCCGCGUGAAUGAUGAAGGCCUUAGGGUUGUAAAGUUCUUUUGCCCGUGACGAUGAUGACGGUAACGGGAGAAUAAGCUCCGGCUAACUUCGUGCCAGCAGCCGCGGUAAUACGAAGGGGGCUAGCGUUGUUCGGAAUUACUGGGCGUAAAGCGCGCGCAGGCGGUUCGAUAAGUUAGGGGUGAAAUCCCUGGGCUCAACCCAGGAAUGGCCUUUAAGACUGUCGAGCUAGAGGACGAGAGAGGUGAGUGGAAUUCCCAGUGUAGAGGUGAAAUUCGUAGAUAUUGGGAAGAACACCGGUGGCGAAGGCGGCUCACUGGCUCGUUUCUGACGCUGAGGCGCGAAAGCGUGGGGAGCAAACAGGAUUAGAUACCCUGGUAGUCCACGCCCUAAACGAUGAGUGCCAGUGUCGGAGCUAGCUCUCGCGCGCAGCUACGACUACGCACUCCGCCGUCGGGUAGGUACGGCCGCGAACGGUUAAACGUACAACGAAGUAGACGGCGNGAGACGNGCCGAACGGACGACGACGAGGGAGGUAGG